CGGACAGAUCUUGGAGUCGCCCGCCGUACGUGAUGUCGCCUCCGUGCAGGUCGUCACGGUGACGUGGCCUACGUGGACGCCGUCGCCGCCCGCAACUCCGUGAUCAACCUCUCCGGGAACGUCCUCGCCGUCCGCAGCCACGCCAGGCCGGCCGAAGUGCACGUGCAUGCCAUGAGGAUAUUGACGUUCAGAACGAGGAAAAUCAUGGUGUUGAAUCUUUCGGGGAUAACAUAAGCCAGGCUAACUUUGAUGAUUGGAGUGGUGAAGAUGGAUAUGAGCAUGAGGAUGGAGCUAAUAUGGACAUUGAGGAAGCUGAAAUCCAGCAACGUGCG
Molecule: long non-coding RNA, 332 nt
Organism: Triticum aestivum (bread wheat)
Lineage: Eukaryota; Viridiplantae; Streptophyta; Magnoliopsida; Poales; Poaceae
Exons: 3
Source: RefSeq, a predicted model, not a curated record